GGGGAAUGCAUCAAGAUUGACAUGUCUCACAAGCAAGUAGAUGGUCAAGGAAGAGUAAUUCGUAGAUUUAGACAAACGAGAGUCGAAGUUAGUUACCAUUCCCGACCCGAUCAGAUAUUGCAUAGUCUUCUCGAAGUUAGUUACUCAUCCGUUGCAAUUGCUCCACCUAAUCACAAGUUCCACAAUGAGUGCUGCUGAGGAUGGAUAUAUUCAUUAACGUAUGUUUGUAACUAACCUUGAGAAUUGGCCUCCAAUGAAGCUCAGCAAAGACAUAGCAUUCACUUGUCAAUUUUGAGCACAAAC
Molecule: long non-coding RNA, 303 nt
Filed under: Salvia miltiorrhiza (redroot sage)
Lineage: Eukaryota; Viridiplantae; Streptophyta; Magnoliopsida; Lamiales; Lamiaceae
Description: long non-coding RNA (SMIL_LNC004537)
Source: RNAcentral